This 84-nucleotide non-coding RNA is filed under the name Heterosigma akashiwo. The record is from RNAcentral. Lineage: Eukaryota; Raphidophyceae; Chattonellales; Chattonellaceae.
GAAUGAAAAAAGAAGAAGUAGUGAAAUUGUGAUGAUUAUUAUUAUUUUUUGUGUUUUUUGUGUUUUUUUUUUUUGUGUUUUUUU